GACGAACUGUGCGAACGUUGUUCGGAAUCACUGGGCUUAAAGGGCGCGUAGGCGGCUUUAUAAGUCGGGGGUGAAAGCCUGUGGCUCAACCACAGAAUUGCCUUCGAUACUGUAGAGCUUGAGACCGGAAGAGGUAAGUGGAACUGCGAGUGUAGAGGUGAAAUUCGUAGAUAUUCGCAAGAACACCAGUGGCGAAGGCGGCUUACUGGUCCGGUUCUGACGCUGAGGUGCGAAAGCGUGGGGAGCAAACAGG
This 253-nucleotide ribosomal RNA is filed under the name uncultured bacterium. Its description in RNAcentral is "partial 16S ribosomal RNA". It matches the Rfam family "Bacterial small subunit ribosomal RNA", at positions 524 to 776 of the family's 1533-position model. The record is from RNAcentral.